Poecilia reticulata (guppy) is the source of this 894-nucleotide long non-coding RNA. RefSeq lists it as uncharacterized. The record is from RefSeq and is a predicted model, not a curated record. NCBI's taxonomy places the organism in Eukaryota, Metazoa, Chordata, Actinopteri, Cyprinodontiformes, Poeciliidae.
GCCAGGGUGGUAUGAACUGCUGGAUUACAAAACAGCCCUCCCAUGUGUCUGCCUGUUCUCUGUGCCAGCCGAGAGACAAGCGAUACCAUGCUCCCGGAGCGCUGCUGAGGCUGAAGGGUGGGAGGGAAGGAGGGAGGGAAGAAAGAUGGAGAAAGUGAAGCAAAGAGUGAGAGAAGCAGAACCAAGAAAGUGGGAGGACAGAGAAAUCAUAUGAGCAGGGAUGCAGGGACAAGAAGACAUGGGAUGGGUAGACAAAAGAUGUAGAGAAAGGAGGAGAGAGAGAGAGAGAGAGAGAGAGAGAGAGGGGAGGGAAAGAAGAAGGGAGGUUGGAGCGAUGGCAGAUGAAAGCUUUGGGAGGAGCGGAGCACUGAGCAGCAUCAGCCAGCGCUGUGAGAGCAUGUUGAGCCUGCAGGGACAGCCGGGGGGUCAGCUGUCAGCCAUAAGGUUACCGGACUGAAGUCAGCUGAGAGAGCGGAGAAACUGCGGCGUGUUGGAAGAAGCUUAAAAGACGGACGCCUUCAACCGAGAUGUGAAGAGAGUGUGUAACUUUCUAACGACACAAAGAGGAGGAGGUUAAAUCGGUGUGAGUGACCUGUUUCACAUCAGAUCAUCAGCCUGUAAAAUGUGAAAGCAGAACUCCUGUGAGCAAACUGCCCCCCAGUGGAGAGACUGUGAAUGACAUGGAAACUGGUCCCAGUAUCUGUUGAGGCUCCAACCUGGGUAUUGUCGCAGCUAUGUGUAUGAAGGUAAUCUGUACUGCAGAGGGGCGAUGGGUUCAAAUGUUACAUAAUCUUUGCUGGUUCAGCAGGUGUCGUGCGUGUGUGUUUCUGUCCAUGGAGAGAAGUUCUCGUCACACUGCCUCUGCAUCGUCUCAGCGCCGUGGUGAAGGCCUGU